GCGCGCCUACGGGAGGCAGCAGUGGGGAAUAUUGCACAAUGGGGGAAACCCUGAUGCAGCGACGCCGCGUGAGCGAAGAAGUAUUUCGGUAUGUAAAGCUCUAUCAGCAGGGAAGAAAAAUGACGGUACCUGAGUAAGAAGCACCGGCUAAAUACGUGCCAGCAGCCGCGGUAAUACGUAUGGUGCAAGCGUUAUCCGGCUUUACUGGGUGUAAAGGGAGCGCAGGCGGUGCGGCAAGUCUGUUGUGAAAGUCCGGGGCUCAACCC
RNAcentral lists this ribosomal RNA (266 nucleotides) under uncultured bacterium. Its description in RNAcentral is "partial 16S ribosomal RNA". It matches the Rfam family "Bacterial small subunit ribosomal RNA", at positions 333 to 615 of the family's 1533-position model. The record is from RNAcentral.